Glossina morsitans morsitans is the source of this 114-nucleotide non-coding RNA. NCBI's taxonomy places the organism in Eukaryota, Metazoa, Arthropoda, Insecta, Diptera, Glossinidae. The record is from Rfam.
GGCAGUUAUGGUGAUAUGGUUCCGGAGACAAUAGCUGGCAAAAUUGUUGGCGGCGUCUGUUCAUUGAGUGGUGUCCUUGUGAUCGCCUUACCGGUACCUGUUAUUGUAUCUAAC